Pelobates cultripes (western spadefoot toad) is the source of this 319-nucleotide non-coding RNA. Lineage: Eukaryota; Metazoa; Chordata; Amphibia; Anura; Pelobatidae. The record is from the annotation of a GenBank genome assembly.
AAAUUGAUCACAAUGGCCAAAAUAAUAAUUUAAAAGUUUUCAUUACUGAAGUGAAUUAUGAUACAAGAUUAUUUAACCUAUAAGGGAAAAUUGCAGAUGUGCCAGUUAAAAUAAUUUCUGGAAUCUUGUUAUUAGCCACCAGAAUGUUACUUAAAAGACUAGGUGGACCAUUCGAAAAUUCGAACUUGUGGUGGUGAAAAUGUAAUGGAUAUACUACAGUUGGAGCAAUAACCACUGUCUUAUCACACAGGGGCCACUUCAUUCUCACUGAGCUACUCGGCAUUAAAAAAAAGCAUAUUUUAUUCUCGUUAUAUUCUGC